This 1094-nucleotide ribosomal RNA is filed under the name Sphingobacterium sp. RNAcentral describes it as "bacterial SSU rRNA". It matches the Rfam family "Bacterial small subunit ribosomal RNA", at positions 49 to 1149 of the family's 1533-position model. Lineage: Bacteria; Pseudomonadati; Bacteroidota; Sphingobacteriia; Sphingobacteriales; Sphingobacteriaceae. The record is from RNAcentral.
CUAUACUGCAGUCGGACGGGAUCCAUCGGUAGCUUGCUAUCCAUGGUGAGAGUGGCGCACGGGUGCGUAACGCGUGAGCAACCUGCCUCCAUCAGGGGGAUAGCCUCUCGAAAGAGAGAUUAACACCGCAUAACAUAAUUUACCGGCAUCGGUACGAAUAUUAAAUAUUUAUAGGAUGGAGAUGGGCUCGCGUGACAUUAGCUUGUUGGUGGGGUAACGGCCCACCAAGGCGACGAUGUCUAGGGGCUCUGAGAGGAGAAUCCCCCACACUGGUACUGAGACACGGACCAGACUCCUACGGGAGGCAGCAGUAAGGAAUAUUGGUCAAUGGGCGGAAGCCUGAACCAGCCAUGCCGCGUGCAGGAUGACUGCCCUAUGGGUUGUAAACUGCUUUUGUCCGGGAAUAAACCUCCUUACGAGUAGGGAGCUGAAUGUACCGGAAGAAUAAGGAUCGGCUAACUCCGUGCCAGCAGCCGCGGUAAUACGGAGGAUCCGAGCGUUAUCCGGAUUUAUUGGGUUUAAAGGGUGCGUAGGCGGCCCGUUAAGUCAGGGGUGAAAUACGGUGGCUCAACCAUCGCAGUGCCUUUGAUACUGACGGGCUUGAAUCCAUAUGAAGUGGGCGGAAUAAGACAAGUAGCGGUGAAAUGCAUAGAUAUGUCUUAGAACUCCGAUUGCGAAGGCAGCUCACUAAGCUGGUAUUGACGCUGAUGCACGAAAGCGUGGGGAUCGAACAGGAUUAGAUACCCUGGUAGUCCACGCCCUAAACGAUGAUAACUCGAUGUUGGCGAUAGACAGCCAGCGUCCCAGCGAAAGCGUUAAGUUAUCCACCUGGGGAGUACGCCCGCAAGGGUGAAACUCAAAGGAAUUGACGGGGGCCCGCACAAGCGGAGGAGCAUGUGGUUUAAUUCGAUGAUACGCGAGGAACCUUACCCGGGCUUGAAAGUUAGUGGAGGAUGCAAAAACGCAUCCGUCCUUCGGGACCCAAACUAGGUGCUGCAUGGCUGUCCUCAGCUCGUGCCGGGAGGGGUGGGUUAAUCCGCACCAACGCACCCCUAUGUUUAUUGCCACCAUGUAUGGGGGGGACCUAAAAAAAU